GCGACACUGGCUCAGUUGGUAGAGCGCAACCUUGCCAAGGUUGAGGUCACGAGUUCGAACCUCGUGUGUCGCUCCA
This 76-nucleotide transfer RNA is filed under the name Vibrio cholerae. RNAcentral's name for it is "tRNA-Gly". It matches the Rfam family "tRNA". Rfam says of the family: Transfer RNA (tRNA) molecules are approximately 80 nucleotides in length. RNAcentral also lists the same sequence under 1 other name. Lineage: Bacteria; Pseudomonadati; Pseudomonadota; Gammaproteobacteria; Vibrionales; Vibrionaceae. The record is from RNAcentral.